This is a long non-coding RNA of Salvia miltiorrhiza (redroot sage), 789 nucleotides long. RefSeq lists it as uncharacterized. The transcript has 2 exons. NCBI's taxonomy places the organism in Eukaryota, Viridiplantae, Streptophyta, Magnoliopsida, Lamiales, Lamiaceae. The record is from RefSeq and is a predicted model, not a curated record.
AUUAGUAAAAAAUCUAGAAUAAGUGGAAAUCCAUUUUAGCUGUGUUGAUUUAUUAUUUUUUUCAGAAGGAAUCAUCUUCCUCCCAGCCACCGCAGCCUGCAUUGGUUCAGCAUAUUCCCCUAAAUUUCAAAACCCUAGGAAAUCCGAUUGCUGUAUGUGCCGCUGCAUAUGUUAUCAAUGAAGAUACUUUAAAAUUAUUAUCAACAUUGGAGUGAUGCUGCUGAGGUUUAGGGUUCAAUCGCAUUGAUCAGAUAAAAGAGUAUAGUAGUUGAGCUAUCCAUCUACAACGGCAAAGUUGAAUCUGCAAAUUAUACAAGGCGAUUUGGCAAUUCCAAUCAUGUUAGACGAGAAUCCAGAUAAUCGGCAGCAAGAAGAUUCUGCCAUCGGAGAAUCUCCAGACGCUGCCAAGGAUGGCGGUGACGAUAGAAAUACUGCGAGUAGCUCAAAUUCAGCAAUGGCGGAUGGUUUGUCCUCGUUGAUUUCAUCUGUCAUGACUGCCUUCGAUUCCCGAGCUGAAGCCACUGCCCGGAGCCAAGAUGAACUCGCCUCUGCACUCGAUCGUCUCACUGGAGGUAGUUAAACAAAUUGUCCAAUUGAAUACUCGUCUCUUUCAAAUUGUCCAAUUCCCUGUGCAUAAAUGGUGUUUCUCUUUGGCCUUUGAGUCUAUCAGGAUCUACUCAGCUAAUGUGAAAUUGGGUUACUAAUUGUAAAAUUAAAUUGAUGGAACAUGCUUGUUAUUUGGGAUAAUCCAGUUGUAUUCUUUGAGCUACAAUGAAGUAUUUUUCUGAA